GACGAACGCUGGCGGCGUGCUUAACACAUGCAAGUCGAACGGAAAGGCCCUGCUUUUGUGGGUUGCUCGAGUGGCGAACGGGUGAGUAACACGUGAGUAACCUGCCCUUGACUUUGGGAUAACUUCAGGAAACUGGGGCUAAUACCGGAUAGGAUCUCCUGCUGCAUGGUGGGGUUUGGAAAGUUUCGGCGGUUGGGGAUGGACUCGCGGCUUAUCAGCUUGUUGGUGGGGUAGUGGCUUACCAAGGCUUUGACGGGUAGCCGGCCUGAGAGGGUGACCGGCAACAUUGGGACUGAGAUACGGCCCAGACUCCUACGGGAGGCAGCAGUGGGGAAUAGUGCACAAUGGGCGGAAGCCUGAUGCAGCAACGCCGCGUGCGGGAUGACGGCCUUCGGGUUGUAAACCGCUUUCGCCUGUGACGAAGCGUGAGUGACGGUAAUGGGUAAAGAAGCACCGGCUAACUACGUG
RNAcentral lists this ribosomal RNA (468 nucleotides) under uncultured bacterium. RNAcentral's name for it is "partial 16S ribosomal RNA". It matches the Rfam family "Bacterial small subunit ribosomal RNA", at positions 28 to 507 of the family's 1533-position model. The record is from RNAcentral.